This 502-nucleotide ribosomal RNA is filed under the name uncultured Glomus. Its description in RNAcentral is "SSU rRNA". It matches the Rfam family "Eukaryotic small subunit ribosomal RNA", at positions 569 to 1078 of the family's 1831-position model. The record is from RNAcentral. Lineage: Eukaryota; Fungi; Glomeromycota; Glomeromycetes; Glomerales; Glomeraceae.
AGCAGCCGCGGUAAUUCCAGCUCCAAUAGCGUAUAUUAAAGUUGCUGCAGUUAAAAAGCUCGUAGUUGAAUUUCGGGACCAUCAUGUCGGUCGUGCCUCGGUACGUACUGGCAUUGUUGGUUUCUACCUUCUGACGAACCAUGAUGUCAUUUAUUUGGUGUCGUGGGAAAUCAGGACUGUUACUUUGAAAAAUUAGAGUGUUUAAAGCAGGCUCACGCUUGAAUACAUUAGCAUGGAAUAAUGAAAUAGGACGUUUGAUUCUAUUUUGUUGGUUUCUAGGAUCGACGUAAUGAUUAAUAGGGAUAGUUGGGGGCAUUAGUAUUCAAUUGUCAGAGGUGAAAUUCUUGGAUUUAUUGAAGACUAACUACUGCGAAAGCAUUUGCCAAGGAUGUUUUCAUUAAUCAAGAACGAAAGUUAGGGGAUCGAAGACGAUCAGAUACCGUCGUAGUCUUAACCAUAAACUAUGCCGACUAGGGAUCGGAUGAUGUUAAUUUUUAAUGUA